Molecule: long non-coding RNA, 301 nt
Organism: Rhinichthys klamathensis goyatoka
Lineage: Eukaryota; Metazoa; Chordata; Actinopteri; Cypriniformes; Leuciscidae
Exons: 2
Source: RefSeq, a predicted model, not a curated record
AUUUUCUUAAAGGGGGGGUUUACUGCUUUUUUUCUUUGCAUGAUUGUGUUUAUGGGGUGCAAUGUAACAUGUAUUCGUGGUUUUUCUUUUUUUAAAAGUCUUAUUUUUCAUAAAUUUCACCUUUAUUGGUUGAUGCAAAUGUAUGGGUUAGUGACGUCUAAAACCCAGCUGUAGUCCCAAUCGAGUCGUUUUUGUAGGCAUUUACACUUCCUGAUUUUUAAAAGACGAUAUCUCUGCUUACAUUGAACUUUCAGCGCUGCAACUUUGCAGAUACUGUUCAUGCACCAACAGCAACAUUACA